AAAACUUCGUGCUGCAUCUCUUUUGUCAGUGAACAAGUCUCGGUUUCAAAGCGACAAAAAUAUCGACAUUGAAAUGACAUUUAAAUGUUGCAGUGAACCAACCAUUUCUCUUUGUGUGUGUGUGUGUGUGUGUGUGUGUCUUUUAGUGUGUGUGUGUG
Long non-coding RNA from Octopus sinensis (East Asian common octopus), 158 nucleotides. RefSeq lists it as uncharacterized. The record is from RefSeq and is a predicted model, not a curated record. Lineage: Eukaryota; Metazoa; Mollusca; Cephalopoda; Octopoda; Octopodidae. The transcript has 3 exons.